This 377-nucleotide unclassified non-coding RNA is filed under the name uncultured Actinomycetes bacterium. Its description in RNAcentral is "uncultured actinobacterium contains 16S-23S intergenic spacer region". Lineage: Bacteria; Bacillati; Actinomycetota; Actinomycetes. The record is from RNAcentral.
UCCGGUUUGGCACCGGCAGUCUCCCUAGAGUUCCCGGCAUCAUCCGCUGGCAACUAAGGACAGGGGUUGCGCUCGUUGCGCCACUUAAGGCAACACCUCACGACACGAGCUGACGACAGCCAUGCACCACCUGUGUACGACCCCGAAGGACACCGUAUCUCUACGGCUUUUCCGUACACGUCAAGCCCAGGUAAGGUUCUUCGGGUCGCAUCGAAUUAAGCCGCAUGCUCCGCCGCUUGUGCGGGGACCCGUCAAUUCCUUUGAGUUUUAGCCUUGCGGCCGUACUCCCCAGGCGGGGCACUUAAUGCGUUAGCUUCGGCACGGACGGGGUCGAUAUCCGCCCACACCUAGCACCCAACGUUUACGGCUAGGACUAC